Molecule: long non-coding RNA, 330 nt
Organism: Solanum lycopersicum (tomato)
Lineage: Eukaryota; Viridiplantae; Streptophyta; Magnoliopsida; Solanales; Solanaceae
Source: RefSeq, a predicted model, not a curated record
CCAAAUUCUUCCAAGUUCCUUCUCCAAAACUUUCUCUCUCUAAAAACUUGUAGAAGAGAUUAGGAUUUCAAGAUCAAGUCUCCAAAUUCACCAUCAAUUGUGGGCUUUGAACUAUAAGGACAUAUCUUAUAAAUUCGCACUUCCGUGACUAGGGAUAUCAUAUAGAAGAUUGAGGUUCGGUUCAGGUUCUCAACUUCCAGAUCAUGCAUAGAUAUAUUUCCGAUCUCCAAUUCAACAGAUUCAAUGAUGAUUCCUCAUUAUCCGAGGACAACAGUCAUGAGUUUUAUUUUAGUCAUUUAGUUUCAGUUUUUGCUAGACUUAGUUGGGGCU